Molecule: long non-coding RNA, 639 nt
Organism: Athene cunicularia (burrowing owl)
Lineage: Eukaryota; Metazoa; Chordata; Aves; Strigiformes; Strigidae
Exons: 4
Source: RefSeq, a predicted model, not a curated record
GGAGGGUUUUGUGGCAUGAUCGGUUCACACUUGUAAAGGACUUUCAGAUCCAUGGUGAAAUAAUGUGCAUCCUAUACACAUGCAUGUGCAUAGGCUUGCCGAAACCAGAAGCAGUGGUAGCUGCCAGUUCCCACACCUACAAGGAAAGAAAAGCUGCUGCAAAGGAAUAAGUAGAGGAAAAAGAGGGGCAAUUCAGCAAGUGAGACAGUAGCGGGAAACACAUAGCUGGGAAACCAGCCCUGUCGGCGGCACCACUCCUCGUUUGUAGUGAGGAGCAGCUUAGCUUGAGAGCACACAGCCUCACAGCAGCACUCGCUAUCCUCCAGCACAAAAGUCUUUGAUGAGCCCUGCUACAGGAGAUCCAGAUAAUACCAGUGAGAGGACUAUUGAGUGCAUGCCUUGUCUUCACCGGACCUGGAAACAGCAUCUAAUGAAGAUAAGACAACAACUCUGGCUGCACAUGCAGUGUCUCUUGGGAUACCUGACUUCCAGCCUGGAAGGAAAUCUACAGCCCUGCAUAUCACUUUGCAGAAGCUGAUGAUUUGUGCUCUUAUCUGUUAUCUCUCUUCAUCAUUUCCAGACGUAGUCAUACACAGGCAAUGUGAUUUAUAUAGUUCCGUGGAAGGCGUUAUAUAAAUU